RNAcentral lists this ribosomal RNA (441 nucleotides) under uncultured bacterium. RNAcentral describes it as "partial 16S ribosomal RNA". It matches the Rfam family "Bacterial small subunit ribosomal RNA", at positions 338 to 795 of the family's 1533-position model. The record is from RNAcentral.
CCUACGGGAGGCAGCAGUGGGGAAUAUUGCACAAUGGGGGAAACCCUGAUGCAGCGACGCCGCGUGAGUGAAGAAGUAUUUCGGUAUGUAAAGCUCUAUCAGCAGGGAAGAAGAACGACGGUACCUGACUCCGACGCCCCGGCUAACCACGUGCCAGCAGCCGCGGUAAGACGGAGGGGGCAAGCGUUAUCCGGAUUUACUGGGUGUAAAGGGAGCGUAGACGGCUGUGCAAGUCUGAAGUGAAAGCCCAGGGCUCAACCCUGGGACUGCUUUGGAAACUGUGGAGCUAGAGUGCUGGAGAGGUAAGUGGAAUUCCUAGUGUAGCGGUGAAAUGCGUAGAUAUUAGGAGGAACACCAGUGGCGAAGGCGGCUUACUGGACAGUAACUGACGUUGAGGCUCGAAAGCGUGGGGAGCAAACAGGAUUAGAUACCCUAGUAGUC